GAAAAUAGACGGUCUAGAUAAUGUGGUACGUUUUUUUUUUUCACAUUCAUACAUCUCGAUGUCGACAUUAUCGAUUAGAGGGUUUUUUCAACAUUAAAACAACAUUUCCGAUAGAUUUUUGAGGUGCAUAUGUGAUUCUACAUUUUAAGGUUGCAACCAUAUUUAAACUUUUCCCUUAACAAAAUAAUGGUCAUUCAAGUACAUGGAUGCUACUCCCAGGCCGUUGUUUGUCCAUACCUUGCUUGGAAGCUUGAUAAAACACACCUAAAUUGGUGUUCUGUAGGUGCCUUCCUCUUUUUGGCAUGAAAUUAGACGCUCACCUUCAAAAUGUUUUUGUCAUGACUAUUUUUGUGCAUGAUCUAGCACCUAUGCAUAUUCUAAACCAUCCCCAAAGAGGAAGUUAUGGCAAAAAUUUAGUGUUCAUUGGCAUGUGGCAGAUAAGCUUUUCGCUUUCCUGCACCAGUUAAGAUUCUCAGUGGCACCUAAUUCGGUCUAGCCUAGAGUCCGCUCCUCCAUGUUUGAGAGAGGUUAGGAGGGCAUGUACUUUACUCCCUGGUUCCAUAGUAACUCUCUCAGCAACAAACAUUUAAAUUGCAGGACACUGAAUUAUCUCUGAUAUAUUUUGGACCUCAAACCUGUUUGAUAUCUACGAAAAAUUUCUCAUGCAUUGAGCUCUUUAUGGAGAGAUGUCAUCCUCUAUGCAUGCUGCUGGCCAUAGAGAACGCUGUGUAUUUUUCCUACUUUCAAGUAUGGGAAUGAUGUUAUAAGUCGCGAUUUAUAAUUUGGUAUUUUUUUUAUUUGUUGGAGCCCAUUUCAGGAGGUAAAGUUUCUCGGUGUUAGUUGCUUUCGCUUGGGAAUAAUGUAUAUAUAUUGUACUUGUAAAAACAUGAGCAUUACUUAAUAAUGUGUAGUGUCAGAUGAUUAGGAAUUUCCCUAUCCACAAUAUCUUUUUUUUUUUUUUGGAUUUAUGUUGGCUUUCCCAAGGCACAACUAUGUAUGCAUAGGAUAGGCUAUUCAAAGGAAUUAGCUAUUGGUACAAGUUGCACAGUUAUGCAAGGAAAGUGGUAUAUGUAGUCCUACAUUUCAGACAAAGCGAGGGUCCAUGAAUCUAGUUCCAAAAAAUUCAUCAAUGACAAAGCAGGUGCAUUACGGACAGAAAUGUCCAUUUAGGAGAAGAAACACCAUAUUAUGCUUACAUUAGACAUCGGUAUCCAUGCUUGAGGAAUUUAUGUAAGAACAAAAAUAUAGUACAUGAAAUUUCCUGUCUCUUUGAAUUUUCUUUCUACAUCAAAUCGGAUUUUUUUCCUUUUGACAUUAGUUUUAGCUAGUAUAACAUUUUAGCCAAUUAUCCUCUGGGCUCUAUUACCUUUAUUACUGCCCUUUCGAUGAUGGAUUUUUAUAGAACGGCACCUUAUCUUGCAUCCUAAUUAGAGGACCCUGGUGUGCGUUCCUCGAGUAUCCCCUUAUUUAAACACUGUCUGAUAUUAGAUUAUCCGUUUUCCAUUUGCUAUGAACCUUCCUUUCACAAUUCUUGCCACAUGGCAGUCUUGCUCAUUUAUUGAUUCUACCUCCAGUUAAAGUGACUAGAAUAGCUCCAAUGCUUCAUGCAAGAGAGAAGUGGUUGUCCUUUCCCCCAAAGAAGGGCAUUGCCCUUCUUUAAUCCUUGUGGUUGGAAGCAUAUAUGCUCUAGAUUCCAAAAUGCAGCUCUAUGCUCUCUCUCUCUC
RNAcentral lists this long non-coding RNA (1724 nucleotides) under Amborella trichopoda. RNAcentral describes it as "long non-coding RNA (ATRI_LNC000817)". The record is from RNAcentral. Lineage: Eukaryota; Viridiplantae; Streptophyta; Magnoliopsida; Amborellales; Amborellaceae.